RNAcentral lists this transfer RNA (82 nucleotides) under Malassezia sympodialis ATCC 42132. Its description in RNAcentral is "tRNA-Ser (GCT) (tRNA-Ser-GCT-2-1)". It matches the Rfam family "tRNA". From Rfam's summary of the family: Transfer RNA (tRNA) molecules are approximately 80 nucleotides in length. Lineage: Eukaryota; Fungi; Basidiomycota; Malasseziomycetes; Malasseziales; Malasseziaceae. The record is from RNAcentral.
GGCAAGAUGGCCGAGUGGUUAAGGCGGUAGCCUGCUAAGCUAUUGGGUUCUGCCCGCGUGAGUUCGAGUCUCACUCUUGUCG